Molecule: microRNA precursor, 110 nt
Filed under: Brachypodium distachyon (stiff brome)
Lineage: Eukaryota; Viridiplantae; Streptophyta; Magnoliopsida; Poales; Poaceae
Description: miR444a stem-loop (bdi-MIR444a)
Gene: bdi-MIR444a
Source: miRBase by way of RNAcentral
CACGCGUCCGACUAGAGGCAGCAACUCCAUAACUUGCGGAAAGCUUGUUGGAUGAUGACCAUGCCAAUGAUUUUACCGAAGUUAUGCAGUUGCUGCCUCAAGCUUGCUGC